This 174-nucleotide microRNA precursor is filed under the name Aegilops tauschii. RNAcentral's name for it is "miR396a stem-loop (ata-MIR396a, ata-MIR396b)". Its record names the gene ata-MIR396a. Lineage: Eukaryota; Viridiplantae; Streptophyta; Magnoliopsida; Poales; Poaceae. The record is from miRBase by way of RNAcentral.
GGCCAUGCUCUCCACAGGCUUUCUUGAACUGUCAACUCGCGCGCGCCGGCCAUCCAUGGCCUUCCUUUGCUGCCGAAUUCGCAUAUGCUCUUGCAUGUCUCGAUCUCGUGCGAUCCGAUGGAUCUCUGCCUGCCUUGUUGAUGGUUCAAGAAAGUCCUUGGAAAACAUGCCCGC